Equus caballus (horse) is the source of this 962-nucleotide non-coding RNA. The record is from RefSeq and is a predicted model, not a curated record. Lineage: Eukaryota; Metazoa; Chordata; Mammalia; Perissodactyla; Equidae.
CCUCAGCCAGACGCCUGAGUCACUCAGGUUCUCCUGGGUUUCUCUCAUGUGUAUAUGCUAUUAAACUUUGUUUGAUUUUCUGGGCUAACCUACCUCUGAUUAUUUCAUCAGCCAGAAGAACCUUAAGGAAAAGCUUGGUGGGGGGAAUUCUCCCACUUCCCCAACGGUUUUGGCGUCGUCGGCAGGAUCCUCACUGGCUGGCAAACCACCUUCUCUGGCUGGAAGAACUGCCUCCCACCUGGGACCACUGCAGGUGAGGAGAUCCCGAGUCACCUGACGAAAGCCGGCAAGGGGUAGGAUUUCUUACCGCGUCAGCCUCCCUGAAUCUCUAUCUGCAGGGUCCGGUGGAAGCAAGUGGUCAAGCACAGACCAAACACCCCCUUAUGCCAGUUUACCAAGCCUUGGAAUCAGUCUGACUGUUGGUUAUGUCAACAGCUAGAUAGCAUAAAAGAACCUGAACUGGUCUUUGUUCCUGCUGAAGUGAACACCUGGUGGACUAAGUAUGGAAGAUGGAUGAACAGCAGGGCAUGGCGUCCACGACAAGGAAAACUUCACUCUGCCUCUCCUCCUGUCCCCAGCUCAGCUUUUAAUAUCUGAAACCUCCAGGGAAGUUGCAGAGGAGGGAACUGAUGGGGUUGAGGGCUGGCCGCCCCAAGAUGUGCAGUCUGUUAUGUCGAUUAUUUCCAGCUGAAGACAAUAAAGGCUCAGAAGACUCAGGAAGAGCAUCUGAACUUUCCCCUCACAAACUGCCUAAAAGACUUGACCACAGAAGGCCUGUUCCAGGAAGGAGCUCCUGUAGGAUAGCUGUAGUAUGAUGUAAAAUAGGUGUGAUAAAAAGACACCAACAAACCCAUUUUUUGGCCCAGAAAAACCUGUUUAACAGAUUUGCAUUCCAUCUCCAUAUAAAUUGUCUUCCCCUCUGAAAUCCCAAACCACUACCCCCAACAUCCUCCUUGUCUGUA